RNAcentral lists this small RNA (126 nucleotides) under Citrobacter gillenii. RNAcentral describes it as "Enterobacteria sRNA STnc130". It matches the Rfam family "Enterobacteria sRNA STnc130". The record is from RNAcentral. Lineage: Bacteria; Pseudomonadati; Pseudomonadota; Gammaproteobacteria; Enterobacterales; Enterobacteriaceae.
AGUGAAUUUGCGUAAAGACAGAGAUAAAUACUGACUUUCAUUCGAAGGUAGUAUUACCACUAAUGGGGUAAGGGUUAUUGUUCGACGUCAAGCAGGCAUAAAAAAAGCGCCCGCAGGCGCUUUUUU